RNAcentral lists this ribosomal RNA (250 nucleotides) under uncultured bacterium. RNAcentral's name for it is "partial 16S ribosomal RNA". It matches the Rfam family "Bacterial small subunit ribosomal RNA", at positions 366 to 632 of the family's 1533-position model. The record is from RNAcentral.
GGAUGAGAUGGCGGAAACUCUGAUGCAGCGACGCCGCGUGAAUGAUGAAGGCCUUCGGGUUGUAAAGUUCUGUCCUUGGGGAAGAUAAUGACGGUACCCAAGGAGGAAGCCCCGGCUAACUACGUGCCAGCAGCCGCGGUAAUACGUAGGGGGCGAGCGUUGUCCGGAAUUAUUGGGCGUAAAGGGUUCGCAGGCGGUCUGAUAAGUCAGAUGUGAAAGGCGUAGGCUCAACCUACGUAAGCAUUUGAAA